RNAcentral lists this ribosomal RNA (1170 nucleotides) under Bacillus sp. (in: firmicutes). RNAcentral describes it as "bacterial SSU rRNA". It matches the Rfam family "Bacterial small subunit ribosomal RNA", at positions 36 to 1207 of the family's 1533-position model. The record is from RNAcentral. Lineage: Bacteria; Bacillati; Bacillota; Bacilli; Caryophanales; Bacillaceae.
UUGGCGGGUGGCUAUACAUGCAAGUCGAGCGGACAGAUGGGAGCUUGCUCCCUGAUGUUAGCGGCGGACGGGUGAGUAACACGUGGGUAACCUGCCUGUAAGACUGGGAUAACUCCGGGAAACCGGGGCUAAUACCGGAUGCUUGUUUGAACCGCAUGGUUCAAACAUAAAAGGUGGCUUCGGCUACCACUUACAGAUGGACCCGCGGCGCAUUAGCUAGUUGGUGAGGUAAUGGCUCACCAAGGCAACGAUGCGUAGCCGACCUGAGAGGGUGAUCGGCCACACUGGGACUGAGACACGGCCCAGACUCCUACGGGAGGCAGCAGUAGGGAAUCUUCCGCAAUGGACGAAAGUCUGACGGAGCAACGCCGCGUGAGUGAUGAAGGUUUUCGGAUCGUAAAGCUCUGUUGUUAGGGAAGAACAAGUACCGUUCGAAUAGGGCGGUACCUUGACGGUACCUAACCAGAAAGCCACGGCUAACUACGUGCCAGCAGCCGCGGUAAUACGUAGGUGGCAAGCGUUGUCCGGAAUUAUUGGGCGUAAAGGGCUCGCAGGCGGUUUCUUAAGUCUGAUGUGAAAGCCCCCGGCUCAACCGGGGAGGGUCAUUGGAAACUGGGGAACUUGAGUGCAGAAGAGGAGAGUGGAAUUCCACGUGUAGCGGUGAAAUGCGUAGAGAUGUGGAGGAACACCAGUGGCGAAGGCGACUCUCUGGUCUGUAACUGACGCUGAGGAGCGAAAGCGUGGGGAGCGAACAGGAUUAGAUACCCUGGUAGUCCACGCCGUAAACGAUGAGUGCUAAGUGUUAGGGGGUUUCCGCCCCUUAGUGCUGCAGCUAACGCAUUAAGCACUCCGCCUGGGGAGUACGGUCGCAAGACUGAAACUCAAAGGAAUUGACGGGGGCCCGCACAAGCGGUGGAGCAUGUGGUUUAAUUCGAAGCAACGCGAAGAACCUUACCAGGUCUUGACAUCCUCUGACAAUCCUAGAGAUAGGACGUCCCUCUUCGGGGGCAGAGUGACAGUGGUGCAUGGUUGUCGUCAGCUCGUGUCGUGAGAUGUGGGUUAAGUCCCGCAACGAGCGCACCCUGAUCUAGUGCCAGCAUUCAGUGGCACUCUAGUGACUGCGGUGACAACCGAGAGUGGGGAUGACGUCAAUCAUCAUGCCCCUUAUGA